Molecule: ribosomal RNA, 205 nt
Filed under: uncultured bacterium
Lineage: Bacteria
Description: partial 16S ribosomal RNA
Rfam family: Bacterial small subunit ribosomal RNA
Source: RNAcentral
CGCGUAGGCGGGAUGGCAAGUCAGAUGUGAAAUCCAUGGGCUCAACCCAUGAACUGCAUUUGAAACUGUCGUUCUUGAGUAUCGGAGAGGCAAGCGGAAUUCCUAGUGUAGCGGUGAAAUGCGUAGAUAUUAGGAGGAACACCAGUGGCGAAGGCGGCUUGCUGGACGACAACUGACGCUGAGGCGCGAAGCGUGGGAGCAAACA